RNAcentral lists this ribosomal RNA (253 nucleotides) under uncultured bacterium. RNAcentral's name for it is "partial 16S ribosomal RNA". It matches the Rfam family "Bacterial small subunit ribosomal RNA", at positions 524 to 776 of the family's 1533-position model. The record is from RNAcentral.
UACAGAGGGGGCAAGCGUUAUUCGGAAUUAUUGGGCGUAAAGGGCGCGUAGGCGGCCUGGCAAGUGGAAGGUGAAAUCCCUCGGCUUAACCAAGGAACUGCCCUCCAAACUGCUUGGCUUGAGUCCGGGAGAGGUGAGUGGAAUUCCCAGUGUAGCGGUGAAAUGCGUAGAUAUUGGGAGGAACACCAGUGGCGAAGGCGGCUCACUGGACCGGAACUGACGCUGAGGCGCGAAAGCGUGGGGAGCAAACGGG